This 463-nucleotide ribosomal RNA is filed under the name uncultured bacterium. Its description in RNAcentral is "partial 16S ribosomal RNA". It matches the Rfam family "Bacterial small subunit ribosomal RNA", at positions 28 to 507 of the family's 1533-position model. The record is from RNAcentral.
GACGAACGCUGGCGGCGUGCUUAACACAUGCAAGUCGAGCGGUAAGGCCCUUCGGGGUACACGAGCGGCGAACGGGUGAGUAACACGUGAGUAAUCUGCCCAUCACUUCGGGAUAACUCCGGGAAACCGGUGCUAAUACCGAAUAUGACCACUUCAGGCAUCUGAUGGUGGUGGAAAGUUCCGGCGGUGAUGGAUGAGCUCGCGGCCUAUCAGCUUGUUGGUGGGGUAGUGGCCUACCAAGGCUUCGACGGGUAGCUGGCCUGAGAGGGUGACCGGCCACACUGGGACUGAGACACGGCCCAGACUCCUACGGGAGGCAGCAGUGGGGAAUAUUGGACAAUGGGCGAAAGCCUGAUCCAGCAACGCCGCGUGAGGGAUGACGGCCUUCGGGUUGUAAACCUCUUUCAGCAGGGACGAAGCGCAAGUGACGGUACCUGCAGAAGAAGCACCGGCCAACUACGUG